This 647-nucleotide ribosomal RNA is filed under the name Tenebrionoidea gen. 9 sp. NLG-2012. RNAcentral describes it as "partial 16S ribosomal RNA". Lineage: Eukaryota; Metazoa; Arthropoda; Insecta; Coleoptera. The record is from RNAcentral.
CUCGAAUUAAGAAGAGUUAAUUUUAUUGUAAUAUAAAUAUUUAUAAUAUAUAAUUGGUAAUGAAACGUUAUUCGUUUCUUAAUAUAUCUAGUUUUUUUAGAAAUAAAUUUAAUUAGGUGUAAUGUAAUAAAUUUUAUAGGGGAUUAGCUUUUGAAUUGAUUUAUAAAAAUUUAUAUAAAUAGGUUAUUUAUAGGAUUAGAAUUUUCUAUUAUUAAAAAAAUGUUAUAAUUAGUUUUUUUAUUUUAUUUAUAGAAAUUAUUGUUUAUAUUUUUAAUAUAUUGAAAUAAUGAUUAAAUUAGUAAGGUAAUAAAAAGGAACUCGGCAAAAUUAAUUUUCACCUGUUUAUUAAAAACAUGUCUUUUUGAUAAUAAUUUAAAGUCGGGCCUGCCCAAUGAUUUAAUGGCCGCAGUAUUUUGACUGUGCAAAGGUAGCAUAAUAAUUAGUUUUAUAAUUUAAAGCUGGAAUGAAGGGUUUGAUGAAAAAUUAACUGUCUCUAUAAUUUUAUUUUUAAGUAAGAAAGCUUAGAUUUUUUAAAAAGACGAGAAGACCCUAUAGAGUUUUUUUAUUGGGGUGAUAAUAAAAUUAAUAGAACUUUUAUUUUAAGUGUUUUUUUGAUCCUGGAUUACAAGAAAAAAUUACCUUAGGGA